UCAGUAUUUUUAUCCAGACAUCAUCGAUAGGUUCACUGAUGCUCAGAAAGUUCAAAGGAAAAGACAGUGGUCAUAUAGUUAGUAAACGGUGGCACUAUGGGCCACAUCAGAAUUGACUUCCCCUAAAGCCAGUGUUCGCUCUACUCUACUAGGUGGUGUCAGAGCUCCAGCUGGCCCCAAAGGCCUUUGCUAGUUGCCUGAGAUUGGAUGGGAGGAGGAAAGGAUGCUUGUGGAGGUGGAGAUGUUCGGAGAAUAUAGAGAAAGGAUUAGGAAGUUAACAUACAUAUAACCUGGAGAAGGAAAUGGCAACUCACUCCAGGAUUCUUGUCUGGGAAAUCCCACUGACUGAUGAACCUGGCAGUCUACAGUCCAUGGGGUCACAAAAGAGUCAAACACGACUUAGCGACUAGACACCAACAACAAUACCUAUCAUCAGGCCACCCAAAAUGGUGGCUCUCUCGCUGCCUGUAUGUCUUCUGCUCAAGCAGUGCCUGCUGCACCUACAGUGUGUUCACCUGACUGACCUUCCUACAUACUUGACCCCACCCCAGCUAAUGAGCGUUCUAAUUUUAGAGCAGAACGUCUCCACCUGAUAGCUUAUCAAAGGAGUGGUGAGAGACGUGCUUUUCUGCUGGUUUUCCUGGUAACUCAUGAGCCAACCUGACAAAUCCCCCCAUAACUGAUAACCUCCCCUGCCCCGGCGAGUGAAGCUGCCAUGUCCUGCCUGCUGAGUAUGGUGGGGUGUCACUCCAGAACCUUGCUUCAGACAAGCACAGCAGGAGCCCAACUCAGCGAAGCUCCCGUGGUAGAGGUGGAACGCGAAGAAAACCCAGCACAGGGGAACGCCCAUCGUGCUAGAAACCGGGACAGAGAAAAACCCUCAGCAGAAAGCUCACGUGGCCCAGUCUCAGAUUCCAGAAGACCUCCGGUUAAGAUGGGAAAUAACCAAUCCACUUCCUGGCAGACGC
Molecule: long non-coding RNA, 968 nt
Organism: Bubalus bubalis (water buffalo)
Lineage: Eukaryota; Metazoa; Chordata; Mammalia; Artiodactyla; Bovidae
Exons: 3
Source: RefSeq, a predicted model, not a curated record